AGCAGCCGCGGUAAUUCCAGCUCCAAUAGCGUAUAUUAAAGUUGUUGCAGUUAAAAAGCUCGUAGUUGAAUUUCGGGAUCAGUAGGUUGGUCAUGCCUUUGGUAUGUACUGGCCUCACUGAUUCCUCCCUCUUGAAGAACUGUAAUGUUAUUAAUUUGGUGUUGCGGGGAAUCAGGACUGUUACUUUGAAAAAAUUAGAGUGUUUAAAGCAGGCUUACGCUUGAAUACAUUAGCAUGGAAUAAUGAAAUAGGACGUUUGAUCCUAUUUUGUUGGUUUCUAGGAUUGACGUAAUGAUUAAUAGGGAUAGUUGGGGGCAUUAGUAUUCAAUUGUCAGAGGUGAAAUUCUUGGAUUUAUUGAAGACUAACUACUGCGAAAGCAUUUGCCAAGGAUGUUUUCAUUAAUCAAGAACGAAAGUUAGGGGAUCGAAGACGAUCAGAUACCGUCGUAGUCUUAACCAUAAACUAUGCCGACUAGGGAUCGGAUGAUGUUAAUUUUUUAAUGACUCAUUCGGCGCCUUA
Molecule: small RNA, 520 nt
Filed under: uncultured Glomus
Lineage: Eukaryota; Fungi; Glomeromycota; Glomeromycetes; Glomerales; Glomeraceae
Description: SSU rRNA
Rfam family: Eukaryotic small subunit ribosomal RNA
Source: RNAcentral